Molecule: ribosomal RNA, 560 nt
Filed under: uncultured bacterium
Lineage: Bacteria
Description: bacterial SSU rRNA
Rfam family: Bacterial small subunit ribosomal RNA
Source: RNAcentral
AUUGAACGCUGGCGGCAUGCUUUACACAUGCAAGUCGAACGGUAACAGGGAAAAGCUUGCUUUUCUGCUGACGAGUGGCGAACGGGUGAGUAAUACAUCGGAACGUGCCCUGUAGUGGGGGAUAACUACUCGAAAGAGUGGCUAAUACCGCAUACAACCUGAGGGUAAAAGUGGGGGACCGCAAGGCCUCACGCUAUAGGAGCGGCCGAUGGAAGAUUAGGUAGUUGGUAGGGUAAAGGCCUACCAAGCCGACGAUCUUUAGCGGGUCUGAGAGGAUGAUCCGCCACACUGGGACUGAGACACGGCCCAGACUCCUACGGGAGGCAGCAGUGGGGAAUUUUGGACAAUGGGGGCAACCCUGAUCCAGCAAUGUCGCGUGAGUGAAGAAGGCCUUCGGGUUGUAAAGCUCUUUUGUUUGGGAAGAAAUCCCUAAGGAUAAUACCCUUGGGGGAUGACGGUACCAAAAGAAUAAGCACCGGCUAACUACGUGCCAGCAGCCGCGGUAAUACGUAGGGUGCAAGCGUUAAUCGGAAUUACUGGGCGUAAAGCGUGCGCAGGCG